Molecule: long non-coding RNA, 15593 nt
Filed under: Theobroma cacao (cacao)
Lineage: Eukaryota; Viridiplantae; Streptophyta; Magnoliopsida; Malvales; Malvaceae
Description: long non-coding RNA (TCAC_LNC004999)
Source: RNAcentral
GGGAGCCGUGGGUCGUUCUCUCGGGUCCAAAUUAUGGAAAUAGCAAAAGGUUUGGAAAGGAGUGGGCAAAGGUUCUUGUGGGUGGUAAAAAAUCCACCUCGCGACGAAAAGGCAAAGCAAACUGACGAAAGCCCCAAUGUGGAUCUAGACUCUCUUUUGCCAGAGGGUUUUAUGGAGAGAACCAAAGAUAGGGGUCUGGUUGUGAAGUCAUUUGCGCCACAAGUAGCAGUGCUGAACAAGGACUCGGUUGGUGGCUUUGUGACUCAUUGUGGGUGGAACUCCAUCUUAGAAGCAGCGGUCGCGGGGGUGCCUAUGAUUGCAUGGCCUUUAUAUGCAGAGCAACACUUGAAUCGGAACAUUUUGGUUCAGGAUAUGAAGAUGGCUAUCCCUGUGGAGCAAAGACAGGAAGAUGGGUUCGUGAGUGGAACUGAGUUGGAGAAGCGAGUCACGGAGUUGAUGGAUUCCGACAUUGGCAUGGAGCUUAGAGAAAGGAGUUGGAAGAUGAGAGAGAAGGCCUUGGCUGCCUGGGGUCCUUCAGGGUCUUCCACUAAAGCACUAACCAAGUUGAUUGACUUGUGGAAGCGAGGUUGAGAAUCAACUGUUUUGUUUUGUCCUGUUCGCAUGGUAUCUAUGGUGGAUCACAAAUCCUCUGCCCGUAUUGUGCCCCAGCCGUGUCUCCUCUCUAUAUUUUUGCCAUCUGUUUUAUUUCUUUGGCAGUUAAUAUCAACUAAAAAAAAAGAAAAAAAAUCUCAUGUUAGGUUUUUUUACUGUUGACUGUCUACCUCGCUUUGACCUUGUUUUUGGCUGCCUACAUCUCUUUUGCCUUGACUUUUCUAUUUGGCAGGAUGCUUUCAACUUUUGUAAGUUUUUUUUUUAAUUUAUUAAAUUUUAAUUUUAUAUGUAUUAAUUCAUUACAUGAUGUUUUUUUGGAUUUUUUUGAGAGAAGCUAUAUAUGAAUUUUUUUUAAUAGUAAUAAGGUUUCAUUAAACCAUGGGUGUAAAAACACUCACUACCUUGAGAGCAAGUCCCAAAAUACAAAAAUCUCAAGAUGAUAGAAGUUUGAUUGGUGUAUCCACUUGUUUGCAAUAUACCCAAACCAAAACUCGAAGUCCCUUUCAUGGCUACAAGCCAUCCUAUAAAAAAAAAAGAAACGAAACUCCCAGAACCAGAAAGGGGAAGAACAAGAAAUAGCAACACUGAACUCAGAACAACCCCUGUACACAAAAAGUAACAAAAGAGCCUCCCCUUAACAUAGUAAAUCAUCUCAAAACCAAAAAAGUUGAAGAAAAGAUUCCCAACCCAAGAACACUGCUAACAAGCAAUGAAAAGGAGGGAGGAAAGCACAAUCAGAAAAGAUUGCCACAACCAUACUUCAUAAAAAAAAACCCCUUUAAGCUGCAUGUCCCCUAAAUUUUAGAACACACAAAAAGUACUCUGACCAAGACUCAUUGCAUUUUUGGCGAGAGUGUUGGCCUCCCGAUUGGUUUCUCGCGGAACAUGUUUUAUUUCCCACGGCCCCAACUGUUCUUUAAUUCUUUUAAUAAGAAUCACCCAUUUGCGCAACCUCCAUGGCACUUGAGAACCAUUAUUUACCCGAUUAACAACAUUACUAGCAUCACUUUCAAUAAUCAGAAGAUGGCUUUCUUUCCAUUUUGAAGUAAAGAAGAUCAAGAUAACUUCCUUCACAGCCAUGAUUUCAACUUGGGAAGAGUCAUCCAUGCCUAUCAGUUUGGAAAAGUUGAUCUUAACCUCCCCAGACUCAUUCCUCAUAAUUCCACCUAUACCUGUUGGUCCGAGACAACCUUUUGCCAAGCCAUCGAUAUUAAAUUUCAUAAACCCCUGUUUUGGAGUAAUCCAGUUUGUUCUCUUUUUUACUUGUUUAUGUUUCUUCUUCCCGUAACUACCUGUCAAGGGAUAAAAAAAAAAUCCGAAAUUGACCCAUAAUCCAUUGGCCAUUUUGAGUUUGCCCAUGAUGCGAUUCUAAACUUCACAAUCUCCCAGCAUUGCUUUUCAUCCCAUUUCUUUCCUUCAAAAACCACCUUGUUCCUGCUUUUCCAAAUUGUCCAAACGAUGGCGUAAUAAGCGAGUUUCCACAACCUGCAAUCAUAAUUACUAGUAACACAAUCAUUCUAAGAUACAAAAAAAGCUUUAACAGUCCCUGGGGCAACCCACCUGAUAUUGAACAGAUUACACCACGUUCCUUAUAUCUUCCAAGUUUCACCACAUCUGAUAAAAAGGUGACAGCAUGUCUCUUUUUCAUGCUUGCACAAAACACACAAAUCAAAAGCAUCAUGGAGUAUCCCUUUGGCCGCUAAUUCAGCUUUGUCACCAAUUUUCUCAUAUAGAAGUUGCCAAACGAAAGCUUUCGUUCUAUGUGGAGCCGUGCUGGACCAAACCUCUUUCCAUAUCUUGCUCUUUUCAUUGUCAAUAUUUAGUAACAUUCUACAAAAUAAUUUGGUUGUAUUCUUACCACUGGUUUCAAAUUUUCAUAUCAAAGCAUCCUUCAUUUCCUUACUAUGUUGAACCUCUUCCAAGGUGUCCCCUAAAGCGUACCAUUGGCUCUUCUCCCAAGCAAAUAAACUUUUUCGCAAAAGGAUGUUGUCAAGCCCAACUCUACAAUAUGUUUAUUAUGCCAUUUUUACAUAAGAAUGCAUGUUUGCUUCCUUGGGUACCUUGAAAAUCGUUAAAGGACGGUAUUGUAUCAAAUGGUACAAUUAAGUUGAAUUAAGCCUCGAACUAGUCCAAAUGGAGAUUUUAAGAUGAAAUUGAGAAUUUUAAAACUCCAGAAUGACUUAAAAUGGUGAUUCGAAGUUCGAGGACCGAUUUGGAGUCAAAUUGGAAUUUUUAUGAUCUAGGGGCAAAAUGGUCAUUUUGCCACCCGAGGUUAAAAUUGAAAUGUUUGAAGAAUUUUUUAUCAAGAUUGACUAUUUAGAACAUAAUUUGAGUUUGAGAAGUGAAAAAUUUUAAUUCUGGCAUUUUUUCGAGCAUAGGGGUAAAAUAGUCAUUUUGCCACCCAAGGGCAAAAUUGUAAUUUUUCACCACCCAACACUUGUUCAGCACAUGGAUUUUACCCAAUAUUAUCAUGGAUAAUUGAGAAAUUUUAAGUGGUGGAGAGAGAUUGCUUAAUGGCUAAGUAUGACACAUUGACCAAAGGAAUGGUGACAUGCGUCAAAUUUAUAUCCAUUUAUUAUUUAGCUUAAAAAUUAGCACAAAAUCAGCCUAUUUCUCAUUCAUAUGGCCGGCCAAAGAAGAACAAAGGAAGAAAAGAAAGAACAAGAACCCUAGGGUGAAAAUUCAAGAGAAAAAUUGGUGGAUUUCAAGUAAUCAAGCAAUCAAAGGUAAAAUUUCUUGAUUUUGACUUGUGAUCUACCUUUUCUAUGCAUUAUUUUGCAUUUUCCAUGGUUGAAUCACAAGAUAUCAUGAAGGAUUUAUGGCUGACCGAAUUUAGAGAGAGAAGAUUUGAUAGUUGUUUUGGUUAGAUUUUAAGAUAUUCAAGUGUUUUUAGUUAGUUGGUGAUGUGUAGCAUGAAAAUCAAAUAAGAAAAAUUCAUUUUCUCCCAUAACCCAUCAUUGGCCAAAUUUUCCAUGUAGAGUGUGGAUGAUGAUUUUGAUUUUAUUUCAAGUGGAUUGGUUAGGAAAUGAUGAAUUAUGGUGAGAAAAUCAAGUAGGAAAAAUCAUAGUAUUGAUGCACCCAACAUGGCCGAAUUUUUCAAGAGAAAAUGUGAAGAUGAUUUUGCUAGAUUUUAUGCUAUUUGACUUGUGUUUGAUGAUUUAGAGUAUUGGGAGAAAAAUGGAAUUAUUUGGAGUUAAAUUGGACAUAUUGGCCAAUUAAUCGGGUGAUAUAUCGAAUUAGGCCAAUACCAUUUUAUUUAGGUACACAAUUGAAUUUGUGUAGAGUACCUUGUUUGGACGAUAAUCCGAACAAUUUGCAUCCCAUUUCAUGCAUUAGUAAAGAACCUGAAAUAGAUUUAUAAUGGUAUGACACAGUAUAUUGAAUUAUGUGUCGUGUAUUGUGUAUAGGUGGUGAGCCCUCUAAUAAGGGUAAAGACGUUGUGUCAGAGGAUUGAGAAUAGGAGUAUUUCAAACUCUUGAUACUGUGAGUAACCUUACUAUCGUCUUAAUUAUCUAAAAUGGUUUUAUCCGAUUUUGUGAUUUUAUGGAAAAUGAGUUAAAUGGUAAAUCUUUGUGUUUUGUAAUUAAAAUGUGAUUUAAUGAAAUGAUUUUAUAACAUUGUCUUGAAAUNNNNNNNNNNNNNNNNNNNNNNNNNNNNNNNNNNNNNNNNNNNNNNNNNNNNNNNNNNNNNNNNNNNNNNNNNNNNNNNNNNNNNNNNNNNNNNNNNNNNNNNNNNNNNNNNNNNNNNNNNNNNNNNNNNNNNNNNNNNNNNNNNNNNNNNNNNNNNNNNNNNNNNNNNNNNNNNNNNNNNNNNNNNNNNNNNNNNNNNNNNNNNNNNNNNNNNNNNNNNNNNNNNNNNNNNNNNNNNNNNNNNNNNNNNNNNNNNNNNNNNNNNNNNNNNNNNNNNNNNNNNNNNNNNNNNNNNNNNNNNNNNNNNNNNNNNNNNNNACUCCUGAGGUUAACACUUUCGAGUUCACUUCAUGCAAAAUCACCACGUGAGGGUGAACUCGGCCAAUGCCAAGGAACGACUAUGUUUUCAAAAUAAAAACAUGAUUUAUAUGUAUAUAAUUUUUUAACAGCCUUGGCGGACUUAGUUAGGAUAGCCAUCGGCCAAGGUAUCCUUAAUAACUGAGUAUGAUAAUGAUUUUUGGCACGAGCCAAGCUUUUCAGAAAAUCAUAAGCCUCAAUGAUUAUUUGGAUGAAAUAAAUUUAUUUUAUCUCAUAAAAAUGAGUUUGAAAUGCUAUGAAUUAUUUUAUGCUAAUCUAUUUUAUCUGUCUCCAUUUACUUAGCUUUAGAUAUUUUAGAUGGUAUUUGUUUACUCACUGGGAUUAUAUAAUCUCACCACCCUCCUUUCCACCCCUUUCAGGCUCAGGAUAGUCGGUAGAUAGCUCACUUUGUUGAGGGCUACAGUGGGACUUGCAUACUCAAAAAUUGUACGUUUACUACUUUUAUUACUUUUGAUCGUUCGUGGGCCCACGUGUCACUAUAAAUUAAAUUUUAUACCUUGGUUAUCUGUAUUAUAGUAUGUAUGAAUUUAUUUAGCUUUUACGCUACAAAAAUUAUUUACCAAUAACUCUAUAAAUAUUAUUUUAUAAGAAAAUAGAAUAUUUUAUUGAAUAUUUUUAUUAUAUUCAAAUAGUCAUAAUUUCACUUUAAAUGAAUGUUUUAGAUAUCUAAACUUAUUUUUAAUUAUGAAAUAUGUGUUUUCUAGUCGCAUACUACAUUUUUUACUGGUUUUGAGAUUUUCGAAGAAAAAUGACCAAAAUACCCCUGUGUAGUUGAAAUUUCUCUUUGACUGUUUUUGAAUUGAAAUUAGGUCAUAUCACUUUAAAACAUGAUAUUUGAUAAUGGUUACUCACAGAAAAAAUGAGAAACUGAUAUUAAAGCUUUGCAGGGUUUCGAUUGACAUUUCGAGUAAUGAGUGUCGAUCGGGACACUGCGGCGGUUAUCACGGGCUCGAGGGGAGUUUCGGGUCGUGAUAGAUGUCCCAUAACUAUACGUUCCCUGACUAGUUCCCAAAAUCAACCACUUUACCAGUUUUGUUUGAACAGAGCGCAUAAAUCUGAGGAAAUGCAUUAGUAAGCAGAAUACCUUUAAUCCACUAGUCCGUCCAAAACUAUUUGUUUUUACCAUUGCUUGUAACGAAGCCCAGAUUUGAUGUGACUUGCAAGAAAAACUUAUUAGUGAUAAUAAAAGGAUUAAUAAUUCUUUUCCACUAGCUAGAAAAAUUCCUAUUUACUCUCGUGUUUGGCAUAAAGGUGGAUGGAUCCCUGCAAGUCUUUUCCGUAAUCAUUUUCCUCCAUAGACUCACUCUUUCAUUUUUGUACCUCUAAAUCCAUUUGUUAAGUAGGGCUCUAUUUCGAUUCCCAAAUCGACAAUUCCUAUCCCUCCGCAGUCCGUAUAAUUGUUAACAGCCUCCUAUUUGAUGUAAUGAACUCUUUUCUUUUCCUCAUUAUCACCCUAGAGAAACUUUCGCUACAGCUUGUCGAUUUUGUUCUUAACACCGCUCGAAAGGUAAAACAGAGACAUGUAAUAGCAAAGAAGGUUUGCCAGGACUGAUUUUAAUAAGGUAAUGCGACCUCCCAUCGACAAAAAUUUCACCUUCCAACCCACGAGCUUGCUUUCCUCCUUUUCGAUGACUGGGUUCCAAAAACCCAUUGAGUUGUGAUUUAUUCCCAACAGUAAACCGAGAUAGGCAGUAGGGAUUCUACCCACUUUGUAGUUGAUAAAUCUCACCUAUUUUUCAACCAUAUGCUCUUUAAUGCUAAUGCCUAGAAGCUGACUCUUAUGGUAAUUAAUCUUGAGUCUUGAGACACUUUGGAAGCACUUCAGGAUUCUUUUAAGAACCAUCAACUUAUCUAACUCAUUGUUACAAAACAACAGAGUAUCGUAAGCAAACUAGAGAUGAGAAAUACAAAAAACCUCGUUUCCCGAUUCACACUACCUUACAUUUGCCAUUCGCUUCAGCCUUAUUUAGCAUACAACUUAGAGUUUUAACAAUGAUGAUAAAUAAAAAUGGUAAAAGAGGACAACUUCAGUGAAGUCCCCUUUUCAUUUUGAAUUGUCUCAACGAUGACUCAUUCACUAGAAUUGACACCAUAGCUGAACUAACACAUUCUUUAACCCACAACUUCCAUCGAUUGUCGAAACCCAUUUUUCUCAUGAUCAGAUCAAGGAAACUCUAGUAACGUAGUCGUAAGCCUUUUCAAAAUCAAUCUUAAACAUCAAACCCCCAUUUCCAUUUUUAAGAGCAUCAACCACUUCAUUGGCUAUAAGGGAACAGUCCAUAAUUUGUUGACCUUGCACGAAUGCAAAUUAGUUUCUGCCAAUGAUUUCUUCCACAACACCUUUCACUCUAUUGGCUAAAGUUUUUGCCAUAAUCUUGUAUACGCAUAUGACUAAACUUAUCGGUCGGUAGUCAUUCAAUCUUAUUGGACUUUGAACCUUCGAGGAUACGUGUGAGGAAAGAUGAAUUAACGCUCCUGCCUAAUUUACCAUUGCAAUAGAACUCAGCCAUGUAGUUCAUCACUUCUUUCUUUUCCACACGCCAUUGUUUUUUUAAGAAUUCCAUACUAUACCCAUUCGAUCUCGACACUUUCUCACCAUCGCAGCUUUGUAUUACUUCCCAGACUUCUUCUUCUGAGAAAGGUCUUUCUAGUAGCCUUAUUGAUUCUCUUUUAAAGACUUGAAUUAGCAUCUCAUAUCUUUUAGCUCAAGCACUUCUUUUAGCUCAAGCACUUCCUGCUCCAUAAAAUAAUUCUCGAAAUGAUUCACAAUAAUUUCUCUAAUUUCUUGUGGAUAUUCAAAUAUUCCUUCAUCACACUUUAUUUUCUCAAUGAAAUUUCUCCUUUGUCUAGCUGAAGCCAUGGCGUGGAAAUACUUUGUGUUUCGGUCUCCUUCUUGAACCCAUUUGCAUAUCGAUCUCUGCCUCUAUUCCACUUCCUCAGUUCUAUAAAGUCUCCAUAACUCAGCCUUCUUUUUUACAAUUUCCAUUUUUUCUAUUUCCUCUACUGCUUGGUCUUGGCUGACAUUAAACAUAGUCUUCAAAUCUUUUUCCACCUUCUGAAUCUACUUAUUUGUGCAUCCUAUUUCCUUUGCUUGCCACUUUUUAAUUAGUGGCUUUAGACCUCUCAAUUUUCCCAUAGCUUUUGUUUCGCCUCUCCUCAGUCUUGUCUCUAUUCUAAUGAUCCUUUACGAUUUGAUGGAAGCUUAUCUGAUCAAGCCAAUAGUUGAACAUUUUAAAAGGCCUAAGCCCCCAUUUAAAAGAGGUUGUCUUAACACAAUAGGAUUAUAGUCUGAUAAUGAGCUAGGAAGGCAGCUUUGAAUUAGUCCUUGCUCGAUCUGAAGCCAUUCAACCCCUAACAAAAACCUGUCGAUUCUGCUAUAGACCCAACCAUCUCUAAAGCCACACCAAGUGAAUUAAUCCUCUAUUAGUUCAAGGUCAACAAGAGCAAUGUUAUUAAUAAACUCGUUGAACUUUUCCUUUAGUUUUCCCACUCCUUUUUUCCUAACCCUUUCUUGUUCAUUUCUUAUUGUAUUAAAAUCUCCUUUCAAACACCAUAUAAUGUCUUUACUUUAGAUCAGUUGUUCAAGUUCCUCCCAUAGCUUUUUCUUCAAACUCUCUUCAUUGGGACUGUAGAUGUCUAUGAAUCCACAACAUUUUUUCACUCCACUUAUUUUCCCUAUUACAGUGAGGAAAUGUCAAUCUUGCACCUGUUCACACAACUAGAAGAAGUCAUCUCACCAUACACUAACUAAACCCCUUGAUCGUCUUCCCGAGAUAGCAUAGCUUCCAUUAAUCUUAUCCCCUCUAGUUCUCCACAAUUGCUUAAACAAAUUUCUUUCAACUUUCUGUAACUUUGUCUCUUGUAGUAGAACCAUAUUAGGUUUUUAUCUUUUUACAAUAUUUUUCGUCGUUAGUUUCUUUUCGUUCCUACCCAAACCUCUAACAUUCGACAAAAUUAUUAUCAUGUCAAGGGAAAGUACACUGAUUCUCUCAAACAUUCAAAACACUUACUUGCUAUGAGCCUUUUCGGUCAUGACCUCCUUCAUGCCAGUAACAUAGCAUAGAACCUCCUCUAUUCCUUUAACAAACUCAAGACUCAUCAAAUUACUCAUUUCAAAAAUCAAUUCAUUUUCCUUGUUUAUGUCCACACUGCCCUCAUCAGCAUCUUCAUCAUCGUCGGAACUUAUUUGUGCUGUGGCACUACAGUAUCUUCCAUCAUUUUUUCUUUCCAUCAUGUUUUGCCCAUUUCCAUUUUUCUUUGUGCACACUACCUUCCUUCCCCAUUUUUCAUUCCCAAAUUCUACUUGCUGUUUCAAUGAUGUGUCACCCUUACCUAGAGUCAAAUUCUCCGAAAAGCAUAAUUCCUCUUUUUCAUCCUCAACAUGAAGUUUAUACCCACCUUUCCUGCCUUUAAAAAAACCUUUAGCUUUUUUCAGAUUUGCUAUCCCUUUGCCUUUACUUUUCUUCCUUAUUUUCCUAUUACUUUCCCCCUUAACCUUCCUCUUUGAUUUCCUUCCAAUUGUUUUCACCAUAGACUUUCUUCUUCCAUCUCAUUUUGAGUCCUAGCUCCUUGAUCUAAGCCAUUUUUCUGGUAAUCUGUAAAAACUCAACUUGUUCAAAUGAAACCAACGAUCUGGCAGCUUCCUUUUCCUUUUCAAUAUUGGUUUACCUUCAUUCUUUCGAUCUUGAUAUCUUCUUUCCUCGAAUGUGAUUUUCAUUUGCUUGCUUUGUCUUUCAUCUUGCCCCCUCAAGACUUUGAUUGUUUCCUCGUCCCUUGACAACCUAUCCCCUUUCUCCUUUGAUUUGGCCUUGCCCUUUUCCAUUUUCACAACCCGCUCCAACAGCUUUAGCCUCUUGUCUCAUUCUUUACUAAAUUCUGGCCUGUUAAUUCCUCAUUUCCUAACUUGUGGGCUUGACACCUAGCUUCUAAUCCACAUUGGUUUCUAGUUUGGUCUUCAAAAACCUUUUCUAUGAUUGAACUUGUCUUACUUGUUUGGCCUAGACUUCCUCUUUCCCUUAGGUUUGACUCAACACUCUCUAUUCCUUUUUCAUUUGUAGAAUGGACACGUGACUUCUUUUUCAUUUGUUUUGUUUCCCCUUAUCCCGUCAGUGUCCCUUUUUCAAACUUUGAAUUGUCACCUUUUGUACCUUCCUUUGGUUGAAUAGAUGAUUUUACCCUUCAUUUUGUUUUUUUUUUCCUUUUUUGGCCUUACCAACUGAACAUCUUCAGCCCCUCUUUUGGUACUUUCUAUCGCACCCUCCACCCCUAAAUUGUUUUUAUCCAAGCCCCGAUCACCCUCAUCCGAUGUAUCACUAGGCGUCUCAUUGCAUCUCGAAAUUGCCUCACAGCUUAAAACUUCCUUUAUUGAAUCUCUGACUAGGAAACCUUUACCGUUAACCUCAAUUGGCAUGAAUGGAAAAAUAUCUUGAAGAGAUCUAACCUUCACAAGGAUGGUAGAAUAGUCCAGCCUCCACUUCUCCAUCGUGUCUUGGUCUGUUUGAAGAAACCUACCCCAAAUGUUCCCAAUUACUCUGAAGCUCUCCUCAUUUCGUAUGUGAAGGGAGAUUUCUUCAAUUUUGACCUAAACUUUGUACUACUUGACCUCUUCCCCAGCACUAUAAGGUGAAAGAGACGAGAACCAUGGUUCAAAAAUGUCCUAAUAAUGGUUCAACAAAGUCUCUAUUUCUUCUUUGUUUUUAAAAGACACCAAAACAAACUGACCCCCGAUAGGUCGAACACGGGUAUUUACCCCCUGACAGAACAAAGAAUUUUGGAUAGCUCUGCAACACAAAGGUCGUCUCAGUUCCCCGUGCGCACUGCAUUCCAACUAGUCAAGUUCAUCUUUUUCAAUCAAGAUCGUUCUAACCUCUCUCCCACAAUCAUCGUUCUUAGUAGUUUUUUCUAAAAAGCUUCUUCGACUUUCGCUAUUGCCACUGUUUCUUGUGUUCUCAAAGUUUCAUUAUCGGUGUUUCUAGUGAAAGAUUCUUUAUAGGUCAUUUUUCAGUUUGUCAUCGUCAUAUUUAUGAUUCUUCGCUCACUAUUCUCAUUACGUAACUCAUUUCUGUCUCUUGAUUUUUCUGCUUCAAACACCCGAAUUCUUCUUCCAUAAAUCCAUUUGACAUUUCCCCUUUAGAUAGCUGUUUUCAACUCAUUAAUUACUUUGUAUCUAAUGAAAGCAUAUUUGGCUUCCGCAUUGGCUUUCUGUUUUGGGAUAAAGACAUCAACCACAAUGCCAAAUUUGUCAAAGACUUCACUUAAGAGCCACCAAUCCACAUCAAUACUCAAGCUGCCCACAAAAGCAGAGAAGAGCUUGCUUAUCCACUUUCUAAUCCCCCAUGGAUCCUCCUUCCCCCCACCAGAAGUGCUCCAACCAUCUUGCCAAACCUCUCGCUCCCUAAUCCUACUUUUCUCUCUAAGCUUACCUCUCUCUCUCUCUUUCUCAUCAUUGCUUUUUUUACUAUAUAUGAAUAAAUUAUACACCUAAAGAUAGAAAGGAUCGCAUAACAUAUUGUUUCAUUGAAUUUUAUGCUUGUGAAUAACUUUUUUCAUAUUUUUCUUUUGAAAAGCAUUCAGUUUUUCCUUUUAUGUCUUAUUCAUGGUCCAUUGUGUAUUUUGUUCUUUCAUGAAGAUAUUGACAUCAAAUUUGGUUGUAGGUGGUUCUCUUUUCAUUAACUUUUUGAUUUAGGAUUUUUUUGUUUUUUAUAUUUUCUAAACUUUAUAUAUUUGUGUGUUAGUGUAUUGUUUAAUUCAAUUUUGAUGUAUUUUUAUCAUUAAUUGUGUUUAAUUAAUAAAUUUUGGAGCAUAUAGAAUGAAAUAGUAGAAAAAGAAGGUAUGAUUCUUCUAUAAAUUUAAAAGAUAACUAAAUUUAUUUAUUUUGUAUUUUUUAGAGUAUGGACAAAGAAACUACAAAUAUAAUUAAUAAAGAUUAAUUGUGUCUAAGAUUGGAAUUUAAUGAAGAUGAUUUUUCCUAUCAAUUGAACCAAUGGAAAAGUAGAAUCUAGAGCAAGAUAAGUGUUCAAAUAUGAUUGAUUCUAAUAUUAAUAUUAUGAUUUUAGCUCAUGUAAAUAUGUCAGAGAAAAUUAUUUUAAAAAUUGAAAUGAAAUUUGAAACGAAACAAGAUAUUUAUGAUUUUUACAAUAGAUUUGAAACUUGAUGUUCUCUCCAUGAUUGUAACCUCUACUCACCCUUUUGAUAUUGUUUCAGAGCUUUUGCUUUAUGGUUCAUGUUCUUACUAUUUUGCUUUAUUUUUGGCAUUGUCUUAUGGUACUAAGUACCAAUAGGUAAAUCUUUGAUUAAUGGUACUAAGUACCAGUAGGCUUGCUCAUUGAUUAUCCAUGCUAACUUGGAUCUCCAUAUAUAGGUUGAUAUCUUUACUGUAGUUUUCAGUAAUAUUAAUACAAUCUUUAUUUGGCUAAGGAAAAAAAAGGUUGCCAAGAGAAAUUGUAAUGAUGUUUUUGUUUCCAAAAUUGUUGAAUUGAACUAAGGUUGCCAAGAAAAAGUGAGGUAAUAUUUAUACUUCAAAAUUGUUAAAAACAGCUCUGGAUUGUCAAAGAAAAGAAAACACUGGGGUUGUUAGGAAAAGAUUUCUUUCAAGAUAGAACUUUCUAUUUUGGGGUUGUCGAAGAGUAUCUGAGUUCGCUAAGGAAUUAAAGAUGAAAAUUCUUUGAUCUUAUUUAAAUUGCAUCUUUCUAAGGAAAAGUGGUCUUUGGAGCUUUAUGAUUUGAUGAAUUCUUAAAAGAUGCCUUUGACAAGAGAUCAAUGUUUAGGAAUGGAACUGCAAGCGAUGCCCCUUAUAGGAAUGCAAAGAGUUACUCAUGAUAACUCCUGAUGGGAAAACAUCAAAUGAAAUUUAUUAUUUAUUUUUUUUCCAAAAAAUGAUGCAUUCAGAUUAAUGAUGUGUCUUGGUAGAAGAUAUAGAGAUUGAUUUCUUGAAUUUGCAAAAGAUGAUUUCUUCAAGAAGAUUGAUUGAAACGAAUGAUGCUCCCAUGGUGGGUGACAAUGAAUGAAACUGAUUUGGUAAAUGAUAAUGCAUUUAAACUAAUCAUGUCUCUAGGUGGGAAAAGAUUGAAAGCGAUUUCUUGAUUUUACAAGGUUAGAGAUUGGAGACACACCUUACGUCCAAAUGGUUUAGGUUUCAUUUUAGACUUCAUCAAUUUAAGUUAGCUUUUUGGUUGGAAUGUUAUUAGAGCCAACCUUAUAUCCAGGAGGUCAUCCUUAAGGUUACGCAGACAUUGUUAUGGCACCAAGGUUAAGUGCGCAUGUUCGAAGACAUAAGCGUCUUUCAGGAACAUAGUGGAGAUUAGAAACACACCUCGAGCCCAAAUGAUGUAAGUGAAAUUCUAGACUUCAUUCAGUCUUCAGCAUAAACCUCAACCCGAAACGAGUUACCCCAUGUAACUAAGAAAGAUUUGAGCUCAAAACAACCAAAUUUGAUAUAACUUAUAUGUUAUAAUAUUUUAUAUCAAAAUUUAUAUAAAUAAUAAUUAAUUAUAAAUAAUAUGUUAUAAAAUCUAAGAUGAUAGUUAAUAAAUUUAUUAAGUGUAAUCAUAUAAAUAAAUUUUAUUAUAAGUUAUAGUAAUGCUUAUGUAUAAAUUAAAUAUAUAUAAUAUUACUUUAUUAUAUAUAUAUAAUUAAUUAUACAAAUUAUAUGUUAAAAUGUUUUAUAUCAAAGUUUUGUAUAAAUAAUAACUAAUUAUAAACAAUAUGUUAUAAAAUCUAAGGUGAUAACAAAUAAAGUUAUUAAAUGUAAUCAUAUAAAUAAAGUCUAGUAUAAGUUAUAGUAAUUCUUAUGUAUAAAUUAAAUAUAUGUAUAUAUAAUAUAUGACUUUAUUUUAUAUAUAUAUAUAUAUGAAAUUAAUGACAUAACUUAUAUGUUAUAAUAUUUUAUAUCAAAAUUUGUAUAAAUAAUAAUUAAUUAUAAGCAACAUGUUAUAAAAUCUAAAGUGAUAGCUAAUAAACUUAUUAAGUGUAAUCAUAUAAAUAAAUUUAUUAUAAGUUAUAGUAAUGCUUAUGUAUAAAUUAAAUAUAUAUAAUAUUAUUUUAUUAUAUAUAUAAUUAAUGCAAAUUAUAUGUUAAAAUGUUUUAUAUCAAAGUUUUGUAUAAAUAAUAACUAAUUAUAAACAAAAUAUUAUAAAAUCUAAGGUGAUAACAAAUAAAGUUAUUAAAUGUAAUCANNNNNNNNNNNNNNNNNNNNNNNNNNNNNNNNNNNNNNNNNNNNNNNNNNNNNNNNNNNNNNNNNNNNNNNNNNNNNNNNNNNNNNNNNNNNNNNNNNNNNNNNNNNNNNNNNNNNNNNNNNNNNNNNNNNNNNNNNNNNNNNNNNNNNNNNNNNNNNNNNNNNNNNNNNNNNNNNNNNNNNNNNNNNNNNNNNNNNNNNNNNNNNNNNNNNNNNNNNNNNNNNNNNNNNNNNNNNNNNNNNNNNNNNNNNNNNNNNNNNNNNNNNNNNNNNNNNNNNNNNNNNNNNNNNNNUAAUAUAUUUUAAGUAAAUUAUUAAUUAAGUUUAUUAUCAAUUUUUCUUAAUAUAUAUAAAAAAUAUUUUAUAUAUUAAACUAUAUAUAAAUAUAUAAAAAACUAAUUUAGUUUUUUGGGUGGAUUGUUCCAAAAAUUUUAACAUCGAAAACUGAUAAAAACCCAAUUAGAUCAAAUAUUUUAAAUCAAUUAAUCUAAUAAAUCAAAAACCCACUGAGAAGUGAGUGCUCUACCUAGGAAACUAAAUUCUAUCUCUUCAUUUCAUAAGAAAAAUAAGAAAAUUCAUUGAUGUGUAAACCAAGUUCAACCCUCUUGCCCCAAGUCAUUGUGUUUUGUGCUUUUGUAGGAGUUAUAAAGCCCUUUGUCUCCACUACCUCUUCAAAGAAACACAACAAGUCAUAGCUGGGACUGAAGAGAAUCAAGCAAAGAAAGAAAAAAAAAACGCAAGAGACGAUAGUGCUCUACCCAUCGCUAGGCUUGGGCCAUGUGGUGCCAAUGGUGGAGCUAGGCAAACUCAUCCUACAACAGCGAAACCACCAAUUUUGCAUCACCAUCCUCCUUACUACUGGUUUUUGGGACACCCCAAGCAUCAUCUCCUACAUCAAUUCUGUCUCCCAAGCCUACCCAUCCAUCUGCUUUCGCCGCUUCCCAUCCGUCUCCGUCUCCAUGGACAAGAAAUGCAGCGUUGCUGCCAUUGCCUUCCAGUUCAUACGCCUCCAUGCGCCCAACGCACUCCAUUCUCUUCAGGAAAUCUCCAAAGAUUACAAGAUCUCUGCUUUUGUCAUAGAUCUUUUCUGCACUUCUACUCUAUCCAUGGGAAAAGAUCUCAAAAUCCCCACUUUUUACUUCUAUACCUCUGGUGCUUCUUCCCUUGCCGCCUUCCUUCAAUUCCCGAAACUUGAUGAACAAACCACUGAGAGCUUCAGAGAUCUCCCUGACACAGUCUUUCAUUUCCACGGCCUGCCACCGUUGAAAGCCAUAUACAUGCCAAAAGCCACACUUGACAGAGAAGAUCCUGCUUAUCGGGACUUUAUAUACUUCUGUUCAGGCCUCGCACAAUCAGAUGGAAUUAUAGUCAACACAUUUGAAGAGCUCGAACCGAUUUCCAUCAAGGCUAUUGCUGAUGGGUUAUGCCUCGUUGAUGCUCCAACUCCACCAACUUACUACAUCGGACCAUUGAUUGCAGCAGGUAGUAAAGCUGAACACGAGUGUUUAUCGUGGCUGGGGAAGCAACCGUGUAAAAGCGUUGUGUUCUUGUGUUUUGGGAGCGGUAGGUCGUUCUCUCGGGUCCAAAUCAUGGAAAUAGCAAAAGGUUUGGAAAGGAGUGGGCAAAGGUUCUUGUGGGUGGUAAAAAAUCCACCUCAGGACGAAAAGGCAAAGCAAACUGAAGAAAGCCCCAAUUUGGAUCUAGACUCUCUUUUGCCAGAGGGGUUUAUGCAGAGAACCAAAGAUAGGGGUCUGGUUGUGAAGUCAUUUGCGCCACAAGUAGCAGUGCUGAACAAGGACUCG